RNAcentral lists this long non-coding RNA (231 nucleotides) under Elaeis guineensis (African oil palm). RNAcentral's name for it is "long non-coding RNA (EGUI_LNC007179)". The record is from RNAcentral. Lineage: Eukaryota; Viridiplantae; Streptophyta; Magnoliopsida; Arecales; Arecaceae.
CUAUCCUUACCCACUCGCACCGUCCAUCUAAGUGGCGAUUUCAUUGAAAUCGUUGACCCAUGAUGAGUCUGAGUUUGCUGUAACUGCGAUACAGAUCAGAAAGUUGACUAGGAAUCGUGGUUGCCUCUAUAUCUUGAUGUAGUAAUAAAAUAUUUUAUAUUUUAUAUUUUUAUUUUUUCUUAUUUUUUUAUUUUUAAAUAUUUUUUAAAAUUAUUUUUAAGUAUUUUUAUU